GUCCGUGGCUUGGGAAAGUGACGCUUGAGCCUGCAGAUUUCUGGGAACGACGCGGGUUCUCGCGAGGGCCACCCAGGUCCUGAAGGAGUUAAAAGACAGCGAAGUCUGCAAGCUGGGUUAGCGUUGGGACAGCUCGCUCGUUAGUGUCUGUUUGCGUCGUUAGUCUAGCCUGGAGGGUAAAAGCUGUACCGGAGUCUCUUCUGUUGUAAUCGUGUUUGCCAACACCCAUGUCUCCCUUAUUUCCCACCCUAGCUGCGAAUCUCCGGAUAAAUUAGAUCCCUCGGGAACCAUAAGUGUAAAGAACGGAGCACAGUCAAAUAUUGUGAAAAGCUCUUUCCAUAAAUGUGUGUGUGGCGUUUUUAAUGUAGGCCCGUUCUUGGGCAUGCAUUUUUUCCCCCACGGUUCCACUUUAGGAUAUAUAUUUAAGGUAUUACUCCAUUUUAGCGAGGAAGCAAUAGAAACAAACUUGGUCUUGGGGGCUGCAGAGAUGGCUAAGCUGUUUUCUGCUCUUGGAGAGGACUUGGGUUCAUUUCCCAGCACCUACAUGGCGGCAGUUCCAGGGGAUCCCACGUCGCGCCAAACAACAGAACCUUACUGCCUAACUGUUCUGAAAUGCAGAUGUUAGUUGGUUGAGCAGGGGGCCCUUUUUGAAGCCCCAAGGAGUGAGUGGACGUCCCAUGUAUCUUCAGCAUCUGGUGCUUCAGACGUUCCUUGGCUUAUACCUGACUCCUGCCCCUGCCUUUCAUUCUCUUCCGUCUUUGUUGUGAGAACACUUGUCAGUUUGUUAAGAUAGCUUGCAAAUAAGCUUAGAGACUAUAAUUCCCUGUGGACACUGUCUCUUGUGUCGCUGGUAACACAUCUUUAAGUGUUACGGCUCUGUUAGGGGAAGGCUUCAGCUGCUGGGAAAGUUUCCCUGAUGCAGGUGUUACAGCUUUGCUCUGGCUCAUAGAAAAUUUUCCCUGUGACAGUUCUGCUCCAAAAGGUAUCCUGGCAGUCAGGAGCCAAGGAAUACCACAAAGUCUUGCUGCACAACUAAGCUCAGGCAAGGGAUUAAUUUGGAGGGAAAAGCUAAGGAGGGUGGUUGCCCUGCUUGGAAGAGAAGCAACAGAGAACUGGGCAGAAUUGGGGGAUGGGGAAAUAUAUCAGGAUUCUGGGGUGGGGGGUUACUUUCCAGGGUGGUCUGGGAUUUUAUUUUACUUUUUUCUUGUACGGCGAGACCUGGGCUGGGAAUGGCUAUUACAGCCUUUAAAAGAUGACCAUUAGGGAAGUCAAGGGCACAUGUGUGUGUGGGGGGGGGGGUCUGGCUAUUUCCUGCCUUGAAGCACUAGAAAGGCAGUUACAGCUGUUUUAGCCUUUACACCCUUGCUAGAGCUCCUGAGGCCAAGACCUAGCCACUUUUGUGCCUUGAGGAUUUACAACGGCUACUAAGUAUACAAAAUUUACAAAGGGAGGUCAUGGCAGAAAAGCCUGUUGCUUGAGUUGGUGUAAAUGGCCAGCAAUACCUAUUUGAAGAAAGUGGAAAAUACCACAGUUGAUCCUUUUUAGAAGUACCAUGUGAAGGAUGUAUUAUAACUUCCCCUCAAUAUUUAAUAUUAUACAGUUACAAGAGGCUUAUGAAAGCAAAUUCCAUAGAUAUUCCAUGAAGGAACGGAGUUGCAGGGCUCUAUUGUGACCAAUCAAGGAAAGGUUAUAAAUAUCCUGAUAAAGUCUGGCUAUAUUAUUUUGUUUCACUUUAAUUUUAAAAAGAUCUUCAGGUUUUGUUUGGUUGUUGUUGUUGUUGAUGAUGAUGAUGAAAAAAAUAGACCCAAGUUGUACCUCUGUUGCUGGGUAUGACUUAGAACACAUAUAUUCUAAACUGAUCAGAAAAUAAAAUUACAAAAACAUAUCAGACCCUCCAGUUAAUCCAGAUCUGCCUGUCAAGCAUCUGGACAGGAAAUGUUCUGGAAACCUUAACGAAAUAUAAUAAACUUAAAAGCAUGUUAAGAUGGGAGCAUGCUUGUCUCCUCAGUGAGCCAUGCACUUAUGAAUAUCCCCGAAGCUUCUCUCACAAGGCAGUCGCUUACAGAUGCUCUCUGCUCUGAGACCCUGCUUUCGGAAUUACAGCUGACUCCAACUCUUCCACCUCCCUUUUUAUAUCUCCCUGCUCUGGAUAACAGCCCGAUCCCAAACUGGAUUGCCUUCACUCCCUGGACAGUUGUUUUCUCUGAAGAUCCCUCCCCGACUGGCCAUGCACUAGGCUACAUGUUACUGAUCCUGCCUACUUUCUUGACUAAUAAUUUGAAAAACUUAGCUUUCUUCUUACCCAGUGCUCUCUUCCUGGAAGCUGUCAAGAGCUCUAGCUUGCUGACCCUUUUUGUUUUCUCAAACACACACAACAUACACCACACACACACACACAUUGCUGUUAAGAUAGCUCAGCAAGUGAAGGUGCUUGCCCCAGGCCUGAAGACAGACAUGAAUUUAAUCCCUGGAGCCCAACUUAUCCUCUGACUUCCAUACAUGUACCAUUGUAAAUACACACACAAUAUGAUUUUUUAAAAGCACCCUUAAAAAUCAAUAAAAGCAAACUCCAAUAAAAUUGUCCUUGAGUUUUUC
Long non-coding RNA from Mus musculus (house mouse), 2595 nucleotides. RefSeq annotates it as RIKEN cDNA C030016D13 gene. The transcript has a single exon. NCBI's taxonomy places the organism in Eukaryota, Metazoa, Chordata, Mammalia, Rodentia, Muridae. The record is from RefSeq and is marked validated.